ACUCAUAUCUUAUAGAGAAAAUGCCAUGUCAUAAAAAUGGUUUUCCCAUAGGGAGGUCCAUCCAUUGCACUUUGGGUGUGCUGCUGAUCCCUAUGAUUUCCCCAAAUGUGGGAAGCUCAACUGCAUACCUCAUGUUAAUGAAAGGAUUACAUUUAUCAUUUUUUU
This 165-nucleotide small nuclear RNA is filed under the name Pogona vitticeps (central bearded dragon). RNAcentral's name for it is "U1 spliceosomal RNA (ENSPVIG00000005446.1)". It matches the Rfam family "U1 spliceosomal RNA". Rfam says of the family: U1 is a small nuclear RNA (snRNA) component of the spliceosome (involved in pre-mRNA splicing). Its 5' end forms complementary base pairs with the 5' splice junction, thus defining the 5' donor site of an intron. Lineage: Eukaryota; Metazoa; Chordata; Lepidosauria; Squamata; Agamidae. The record is from RNAcentral.